AUGGAUGCGGGGCGGUGGGCGGAGAGGCCAAUGGCGCGGCGGGAGGGGGCGUGUCCCGGGUGCCCCUGGCGCCGGCGCUGGGAAUCCCCGUGCGGUCAGUGGCGUUUCCGCUCGGGCAGCGGGCUGAGUGAGCUGCCGCCGCCGCCGCCGCCGCCGCCGGGGGAGGGGCGGCCGCCGCCCGCCUGCGCUGAGAGACUCACGCAGCCCCAGUCCCGCCAGUCCGCCAACACUGUAGUGCCGGCCCCCCCUCCUUCCCUGGCCCUUCCCCCUCCCCGCCUUUGGCUCGCUCCGCCUUUCUGCCCCCCACCCCCACUUCACGGGCACGGGCCAUUCCCGGCCAGGAAACGCCGUGGCGCCGCGUUGGGCCUAACUCGAGUCCUGCUGCCUCCCGGGAGUGCUGUGCGCCGCAGCCCGGGCCCAGGCCCCGGCAGCGCCUGGGACAAGAUCUUGUUCAUCAGGAUUGCAUCAUUUCUGGGAGAAUGGCCAAGGUCCACAGCCUCAGUACAAAGACUGUCUGAAGCAUAUGAGGCCUGUUCUCUUUCUAAAGCGGCACUCCUCUUCCUGCCAGUCCUCUUCACAGGAUUACUGAAGCAGACUUGUUCUGAAUUUCUUUCAUUGGAUUGGCUGUUUAUUGGACUCUUGUCUCCCAGCUGCUUCCGGCUCACCUGGCUGAUGCAAUUUCUUUUUCUGAAAUCUCUGUUGGAAUUGUUCUGAAAACACUUUUUGUGUGUCUGUUCUGAGAGUGACCAGAUAGAUCACACGGGUCUUGUGCUUUCAGCAAGUCAUAUAGAGAAGAGACUGUCAGAAUGACACAGAGACUAUUGACCAUUUCUGAACCCAGUUAAAAAGAUGGGUAAUUAUAAAACAUUUCUGGCAUCUUCUAAUUAACAGUAUUUUCUCCAGAAACUGUGUAUGUAUGUAAAUGGUGACUUCUCAGAAAAGUACUUAGUACUGGGAGAGUGGUUGGUUCUGCUUCUGAAUCCAAGAACUUACUACUGUUCCUGUGGAUUCUGAUGACUUGUUCUGGAAAUAGUCAAAUUGAUAUGAAAUUGAAAUUCUGGUGCAUUCAUUUUCCCCCUACUGUAUAUUCAUAUAUUUAGUUCCCUUUUUCCUCCUGUCGUUUCUUAUCCUUUCUUUGUUUUUGCUAAAGGAGUCCACUUCUUUAUUUUUUCUUUCUUUUACUAUUACCUUCAUACCUUUUAUGUGUGCUCUUUUAAAAUUGUUUUUAAAGAAUAGUUAAUUUUCCAAUUUUUGUAAAUAAAAUAUUGAUAUAAAAGUAUAUUUCCUGUCUU
RNAcentral lists this long non-coding RNA (1292 nucleotides) under Felis catus (domestic cat). RNAcentral's name for it is "lncRNA (ENSFCAG00000051559.1)". The record is from RNAcentral. Lineage: Eukaryota; Metazoa; Chordata; Mammalia; Carnivora; Felidae.